This 253-nucleotide ribosomal RNA is filed under the name uncultured bacterium. RNAcentral's name for it is "partial 16S ribosomal RNA". It matches the Rfam family "Bacterial small subunit ribosomal RNA", at positions 524 to 776 of the family's 1533-position model. The record is from RNAcentral.
UACGUAGGUGGCAAGCGUUGUCCGGAAUUAUUGGGCGUAAAGCGCGCGCAGGCGGUCCUUUAAGUCUGAUGUGAAAGCCCCCGGCUCAACUGGGGAGGGUCACGCGAUACUGAUCGACUCGAAGGCAGGAGAGGGUAGUGGAAUUCCUGGUGUAGCGGUGAAAUGCGCAGAUAUCAGGAGGAACACCGGUGGCGAAGGCGGGUCUCUGGGCCGAUACUGACGCUGAGGAGCGAAAGCGUGGGGAGCAAACAGG